This 457-nucleotide ribosomal RNA is filed under the name activated sludge bacterium KA12. Its description in RNAcentral is "bacterial SSU rRNA". It matches the Rfam family "Bacterial small subunit ribosomal RNA", at positions 56 to 524 of the family's 1533-position model. The record is from RNAcentral.
UGCAGUCGAACGGUGAAGCUGGAGCUUGCUCUGGUGGAUCAGUGGCGAACGGGUGAGUAACACGUGAGCAAUCUGCCCCUGACUCUGGGAUAAGCGCUGGAAACGGUGUCUAAUACUGGAUAUGAGCUAUGACCGCAUGGUUGUGGUUGGAAAGAUUUUUCGGUUGGGGAUGGGCUCGCGGCCUAUCAGCUUGUUGGUGAGGUAAUGGCUCACCAAGGCGUCGACGGGUAGCCGGCCUGAGAGGGUGACCGGCCACACUGGGACUGAGACACGGCCCAGACUCCUACGGGAGGCAGCAGUGGGGAAUAUUGCACAAUGGGCGGAAGCCUGAUGCAGCAACGCCGCGUGAGGGAUGACGGCCUUCGGGUUGUAAACCUCUUUUAGCAGGGAAGAAGCGUGAGUGACGGUACCUGCAGAAAAAGCACCGGCUAACUACGUGCCAGCAGCCCGCGGUAAA